UGGGGAAUCUUGCGCAAUGCGCGAAAGCGUGACGCAGCAACGCCGCGUGGGGGAAGAAGGCCUUCGGGUUGUAAACCCCUUUCAGGAGGGACGAAGCCCGGGCGGUUAAUAGCCGACUCGGGUGACGGUACCUCCAGAAGAAGCCCCGGCUAACUACGUGCCAGCAGCCGCGGUAAUACGUAGGGGGCAAGCGUUGUCCGGAAUCAUUGGGCGUAAAGCGCGUGUAGGCGGUCCGGUAAGUCGGCUGUGAAAGUCCAGGGCUCAACCCUGGGAUGCCGGUCGAUACUGCCGGACUAGAGUUCGGAAGAGGCGAGUGGAAUUCCCGGUGUAGCGGUGAAAUGCGCAGAUAUCGGGAGGAACACCAAUGGCGAAGGCAGCUCGCUGGGACGUUACUGACGCUGAGACGCGAAAGCGUGGGGAGCAAACAGG
RNAcentral lists this ribosomal RNA (429 nucleotides) under Acidobacteriota bacterium. Its description in RNAcentral is "Acidobacteria bacterium partial 16S ribosomal RNA". It matches the Rfam family "Bacterial small subunit ribosomal RNA", at positions 355 to 776 of the family's 1533-position model. RNAcentral also lists the same sequence under 2 other names. Lineage: Bacteria; Pseudomonadati; Acidobacteriota. The record is from RNAcentral.